RNAcentral lists this ribosomal RNA (496 nucleotides) under uncultured Nitrobacter sp. Its description in RNAcentral is "bacterial SSU rRNA". It matches the Rfam family "Bacterial small subunit ribosomal RNA", at positions 1040 to 1533 of the family's 1533-position model. The record is from RNAcentral. Lineage: Bacteria; Pseudomonadati; Pseudomonadota; Alphaproteobacteria; Hyphomicrobiales; Nitrobacteraceae.
GCUGCAUGGCUGUCGUCAGCUCGUGUCGUGAGAUGUUGGGUUAAGUCCCGCAACGAGCGCAACCCCGUCCUUAGUUGCUACCAUUUAGUUGAGCACUCUAAGGAGACUGCCGGUGAUAAGCCGCGAGGAAGGUGGGGAUGACGUCAAGUCCUCAUGGCCCUUACGGGCUGGGCUACACACGUGCUACAAUGGCGGUGACAAUGGGAUGCAAAAGGGCAACCUCUAGCAAAUCUCAAAAAGCCGUCUCAGUUCGGAUUGGGCUCUGCAACUCGAGCCCAUGAAGUUGGAAUCGCUAGUAAUCGUGGAUCAGCAUGCCACGGUGAAUACGUUCCCGGGCCUUGUACACACCGCCCGUCACACCAUGGGAGUUGGUUUUACCUGAAGGCGGUGCGCUAACCCGCAAGGGAGGCAGCCGACCACGGUAGGGUCAGCGACUGGGGUGAAGUCGUAACAAGGUAGCCGUAGGGGAACCUGCGGCUGGAUCACCUCCUUUCUG